Molecule: long non-coding RNA, 4643 nt
Filed under: Homo sapiens (human)
Lineage: Eukaryota; Metazoa; Chordata; Mammalia; Primates; Hominidae
Description: HSALNT0235101
Source: RNAcentral
GCCACCACGCCCAGCUAAUUUUUGUAUUUGUAGUAGAGAGAGGGUGUCACCAUGUUGGCCAGGCUGGUCUUGAACUCCCGACCUCAGGUGAUCCACACGCCUUGGCCUCCCAAAGUGCUGGGAUUACAGGCACGAGCCACCGCGCCCAGCCAAUUGUACCACUUUUUGUGAAAUAACGGUGCAUUUGUGCAGGUGGCACUUUCUGUCCCUGAUUUUUUUGUCAUAGUUCUUUACCUCAGACAUCUCUGAUAGUCAUACAAUUAAUAAAGAAGAGUACUUAAACAUUCUCUCUGGUUUCCAGAUUCCGAAAUUUUUAACCUCUGAAGCUGUGCCUUCACAUGAUCUAGGACAGCGUUCAGAAGAUGGCUACAGUCUGUUGGUUUGUAUUCUGUGAAAAUAGAAAAAAAAAUCCGGUAAGCGCAUAUUAUGUACCUACCUUCUGCCAAACAACAAAGUAUCAGUUUUGAAGUCUUAAAGAGUGGAGUCUGUGUUGCUUUCUUUUCUGGAUUUUUAUGAUAUUAAGUAUUGACUGGUGAGUGCGUUCUUGGCUGAGUUGCUGCUUUGUAAGAAAUGGGCUUUUUCUUUCUCUUGCUGGACAACUGUUCCAAAUGCAAGAAGAAGGGAAAAAAUCGAUAUCUGGCAUAUGGAGAUGGGGGAGGGGAAGCAGAGUCUCAUAUUUUCCCACCCUUGGGCAUCCAUAAAGCUUUACCAAAUUACUCCAGGCCUUGGGUUCAUUGCCAGAGGAAGUAGCAUCGACAGUUGUGUAGUAAUGGGCCAGGGUUACUCUGCGUGUUUUUGAAAUAUAGGACUGAAGUCCACAUUUGCAAAGCUGACACUUCUACGCCUAACUUCUAAUUCCAACUUGAAUCUAAAGCCACAUAUCCUUCCAUGGCUCUCAGAAAAGAAUCCAAAAUGAUUGGGGUUUAAAGAUGGCUCAUAGGUUUCAUUCCCAUGUAAGAAUAACACAUUUAGUUAAAUAAUAUAUAUCUAUUGUAUAUAUAUUAUAAUAAUGUACAUUCAUAUACAAAUAAAUAUAAGAAACAACUUCAUGUAACUUUUGGAAGCAUAAGUGUGCUUGAGUAUUUAUGAAACAUUUCAUGUGACCCAAAAGACUGCAGUUUAGUAGAAAUUUAAUAUAGUAGUGAACAAUAUUCAGAGUGGUAAAUUAAUAUUACUCAUGAAUUAUUUUAAGCUAGUUAAUAUAAGCAUAGUGUAAUAUAAACGUUAAUGUUCCCUGUAAUAAUCCAUGUAAAGUAGAAAAGCAAGAACACAUCUUUCAUUUUAAUUUACUCAGUGUUUUCUCUAGGAAUUUCAUGGUGCCUUUAAACUACCAAAUAAUCAUUCAUUCUUCAAAGUCCAGCAGUGGCACCCUAUUCCUUUUUUCAAACCAGGAAAUGACCAUAACCGUGGGGAAAUGAUGUAACUGCUAAGAAUUGAAUGUGAUGGCCCAGCUUGAGUGAUGUAAGUGGCUGUAAAUCAUGCUGUCUAGCUGUGUGUAAGAACCUGUCAAAUGAAUCACAAAACAUUAACCUGACCUACAGAAAGCAUCGGGGUUAUUUUUUGCCACACUCAAUAUGGACGGCAAGUCACGCGGAGAAUUUGCUCCAGGCCUCAGGCCUCCUCGGCCUCUCCCUCCUCUCCUCUUUCUGAUUGGAAGAGAGAGGCCACCGGCUUUGUCGUCUGCACCACUAUAGGCCCAGUGUCCUAUCCAUCGUGGUGUCAUCGCUUUGCUCUUGAGAGCAAGUAAACAAACAAGUAUUGCUCAAGAGGAGUGCAGGGAGCUAUUCUCAGAAAGGAUUUGGUCAGGAGGAUUUAGGGGUUGACACUGAAUAGACUGCAGUCUUCAGAAUGUCUUCCCUGGAGAAUCCAGGGAAUAAGUAGCUAGAGCAGGCUGUAUGUUCAGUGUCUUCCUCCCCAGGGAAGUCUGGCCUGUUCAGCUUCAAGAAUCUGCAAAGUAGAACGCGUGGUAAAGCACUGACAAAUCAGUCACGCGACCCGCAGCUGUUUCCUAAAUGAGUGUGUAACACCAGGUGGAACGGGCUGAGGUUCCACCAUGUUUUUGUUUGCCUGUUUGUUUAAUUCUAAACAAAUUCUGUAGGACUGCUGUGUUUAUAGCUUUUGCUCCAUUCUGGGACUGUUAACGUGUGCAACUGUGGAGGCUCCAUCAGCCCGCUUAUUUUAAACUGCAAUCCUCUUGUUCAAAGUUUGAAUAUUUUCCCUUCUUUCCAGUUAGUGUGACUAGUUCUUUUGAGCAGUGGGUAAGAUCCCAUUUUUUCACAUCCGGAUGUUGAGAACUCAUUGGGAUACAGUUAACGUGGCUUUCUUUCUUUCUUUUUUUUCUCUCUGUCGCCCAGGCUGGAAUGCACCAUUGCCCAGUGCAUGUGGCGCCAUCUCGGCUCACUGCAAGCUCCGCCUCCCGGGUUCACACCAUUCUCCUGCUUCAGCCUCCUGAGUAGCUGGGACUAUAGGCGCCCGCCAACACGCCCAGCUAAUUUUUUGUACUUUUAGUAGAGACGGGGUUUCACUGUGUUAGCCAGGAUGGUCUCGAUCUGACCUCAUGAUCCACCCGCCUCGGCCUCCCAAAGUGCUGGGAUUACAGGUGUAAGCCACCGCGCCCUGCCCAGUUAACAUGGUUUUCCUCAGUCCAAGAAAUACUACUUGUGACCUUUGAGGCAACCAAUUGGAAAAUGCCCAGCCCUAUAUUCGACUUACUUCCUUAGAUGUUAUCAGUUCUCACUAACAAAGAGGUCAUUAUUGUAAAGCCUCAUCAUAGUGUUAAAACAAAUGAUCUCUUCUAUCUAGUUCUUCCUCGUUUUAGAAUGCACGCACCUUCCUUAUUCUUUAAAGGAUACAUUUCUACAUAAAGGAUUGUAAACGUGUUCCAAGGACGUAUUCAGCUGUCAGGAUUCAAUGUGUAGUAGUUUUCUGCUGGCACUGUCUUUCCCCUUGGGUUCCUUCCCACCAACAGGUAUUGCUGAAGCGCUCACGGUCAUUCUUUUCUUUCUAUUAUUAUUAUUUUUGUAGAGAUGGGGUUUCACUUCGUUGCCCAAGCUAGUCUCCUGGGCUCAAGCAAUCUUCCCUGCUCAGCCUCCCAAAGUGUUGGGAUUCUGGGUGUGAGCCACCACUCCCAGCCUUUUCUUUCUAUUCUAAAUGGUCAGUGCUAAUUCCAUCCUUCCACAACUUUGGGUACACAGCCUUCCAUUAUUCUUGCUGUCUGUCUUUUGUCCCUCUAAUCCUGUGCUUUUCAUCCUUGGUUAUUCAUAUAUCACCAACCAUCUUCUAUGGUUACUAUUUUCUUUCAAACAGCUCAUUUUUUAUUUAAGGUAUAUUAAAAUAGAUUUGCCAUUGCAGUAAUGACCCUGCAAUCAUAAGUCUGAUGUACUAGUUACAUGUCUCAAAUACUAAACCAGAAUAAAGGCCGGGUGCAGUGGCUCGUGCCUGUAAUCCUAGCACUUUGGGAUGCCGAGGUGGGUGGAUCGCCUCUGGUCAGGAAUUCAAGACCAGCCUGGCCAACAUGGCAAAAACCCAUCUCUAUUAAAAAUACAAAAAUUAGCCAAGUGUGGUGGCACUCGCCUGUAAUCCCAGCUACUCGGGGAGGCUGAGGCAGGACAAUAGCUUGAACCCGGGAGGCGGGGAGUGAGACUCCGUCUCUAAAUAAAUAAAUACAUAAAUAUAAAAUGUUUCUGUACCACAUAAAAUCGUCCUGCAUACAAUUCAUCUGCAUACCACGCUGCUCACUGAAGCCUGAGUUGGCUUCCCAAAACACCACUUUCAUCACUGUGUCAUUCCCGAAUUUGCGAGGGCUUCAUCUGUCUUCCACGAGUUCACAUUCUAACUCCAACCUAUAUUUUAUCUCUUUUUCUUGUCAUUUUUCAUUUCCAUCCUAUAUUUUCAGCUUCUGCUCAGACCACACCCUGGACUGAACCAGCCUCCUGUUUCCCUCAGGCCUCCUGAGGUCCCUGAUCUCCGGCAAGUGAUGCUCCUUCUCACCAUCGUCUGUGCCAUUGCCUUGAAAACUCCCUUCCUGGCCUCGCCUACUACAUGAGCCAGGGACAACCAGCUGUCCUUUUAUUCUUUUCUUUUUUUUUUUUGAGAAAGAGUCUUGCUCUGUCGCCUAGGCUGGAGUGCAGUGGCUCAAUCUCGGCUCACUGCAACCUCCACCUCCCGGGUUCAAGUAAUUCUUCUGCCUCAGCCUCCUGAGUAGCUGGGAUUACAGGUGCCCGCCACCAUGCCCGGCUAAUUUUUGCAUUUUUUCAGUAGAGACAAGGUUUCACCAUGUUGGCCAGGCUGAUCUUGAACUCCCAACCUCAGGUGAUCUGCCCGCCUUGGCCUCCCAAAGUUCUGGGAUUACAGGUGUGAGCCACCAGGCCUGGCCGCUAUCCUUUUUUUCUAGAACAUUCUCCCAUCAAGUGUUCUCCUCCUGGCUAACUCCAAAUUUUCCUUUGAUUUAUAAAUGUCAUUUCCUCAAAGAACCUUUGAUCAUCCAAAGUCUGGUCUCUGCUAUAAGAUCUUGUUAGUUUUACUUAUUGUUAGAGCAUUACAAUUUAUAAUUUAUGUAUUUAUCUAUGUGGUUACUUGUUUAAUGGCUGAUCUCCCUGGUAGAUAGCAGGAUGUUAUUAGUUGAAACCAUUUUUUUUUUUUUU